RNAcentral lists this ribosomal RNA (356 nucleotides) under uncultured bacterium. RNAcentral describes it as "bacterial SSU rRNA". It matches the Rfam family "Bacterial small subunit ribosomal RNA", at positions 1 to 334 of the family's 1533-position model. The record is from RNAcentral.
GGAGUAGUUCAGAGUUUGAUCCUGGCUCAGGAUGGACGCUGGCGGCGUGCCUAACACAUGCAAGUCGAACGGAACUUUUAUGGAUUGAGACUUCGGUUGAUUGAAGUUUAAGUUUAGUGGCGGACGGGUGAGUAACGCGUGAGUAACCUGCCUUUCACAGGGGGAUAACGUUUGGAAACGAACGCUAAUACCGCAUAACAUAGCGGAGUCGCAUGGCUCUGCUAUCAAAGAUUUUAUCGGUGAAAGAUGGACUCGCGUCCGAUUAGGUAGUUGGUGAGGUAACGGCCCACCAAGCCGACGAUCGGUAGCCGGACUGAGAGGUUGAACGGCCACAUUGGGACUGAGACACGGCCCAG